UCGAAUCCCGCAACGAGCAGACCGCGCACACGUACAUGCCGCACGGGGCACCCGACGGGAAGGUGCGCGUGCGCCUCCCGUUGGUUGCCCCGCCGCGCCCGCCCGACCCUCGCGCGAGCGAGUCCGACAGCGGGGCCUUCAAUAUACCCACGGCGCAGAAAGGCGCCAAGGAUCACAAACGCGGAGCGCCGCCCCCAUCGUGCACCCGUUCGUGGUUUGCCGGUCGGGGGUUGAGCGUCUCCCAAGAUUGAAUACGGAAAACAAU
RNAcentral lists this unclassified non-coding RNA (265 nucleotides) under Pinguicula emarginata. Its description in RNAcentral is "ITS1". Lineage: Eukaryota; Viridiplantae; Streptophyta; Magnoliopsida; Lamiales; Lentibulariaceae. The record is from RNAcentral.